CCUCACUCCAUCAGCAUUUCCGCUUGGCAGUUCGCACUCUAGCCGGAAAAUCAAAGAUUUGCCGGGGGCCCUCACAAGCGGUGGAGCAUGUGGUUUAAUUCGAUGAUACUCGAGGAACCUUACCAAGGGUUAAUAUGUAGAUUGACCGAUUUGGAAACAGAUCUUUCGCAAGACAAUUUGCAAGGUGCUGCACGGUUGUCGUCAGCUCGUCCCGUGAGGUGUCAGGUUAAGUCCUAUAACGAGCGCAACCCCUGUUGUUAGUUGCCAGCGAGUCAUGUCGGGAACUCUAACGAGACUGCCAGGGCAAACUGUGAGGAAGGUGGGGAUGACGUCAAAUCAUCACGGCCCUUACGCCUUGGGCUACACACGUGCUACGAUGGCCGGUACAGAGAGCAGCCACCUCGCGAGGGGGAGCGAAUCUAUAAAACCGGUCACAGUUCGGAUCGGAGUCUGCAACUCAACUCCGUGAAGCUGGAAUCGCUAGUAAUCGGAUAUCAGCCAUGAUCCGGUGAAUACGUUCCCGGGCCUUGUACACACCGCCCGUCAAGCCAUGGAAGCUGGGGGUGCCUGAAGUCGGUGACCGCAAGGAGCUGCCUAGGGUAAAACUGGUAACUAGGGCUAAGUCGUAACAAGGUAACAAGUCGUAGAGUUUGAUCAUGGCU
RNAcentral lists this ribosomal RNA (662 nucleotides) under uncultured Bacteroidota bacterium. Its description in RNAcentral is "bacterial SSU rRNA". It matches the Rfam family "Bacterial small subunit ribosomal RNA", at positions 874 to 1520 of the family's 1533-position model. The record is from RNAcentral. Lineage: Bacteria; Pseudomonadati; Bacteroidota.